This 253-nucleotide ribosomal RNA is filed under the name uncultured bacterium. RNAcentral's name for it is "partial 16S ribosomal RNA". It matches the Rfam family "Bacterial small subunit ribosomal RNA", at positions 524 to 776 of the family's 1533-position model. The record is from RNAcentral.
UACGGAGGGUGCAAGCGUUAUCCGGAUUUACUGGGUUUAAAGGGUGUGUAGGCGGACUUUUAAGUCAGCGGUGAAAUCUCCGGGCUCAACCCGGAAACUGCCAUUGAUACUAUUGGUCUUGAAUGUUGUUGAGGUGGGCGGAACGGGUCAUGUAGCGGUGAAAUGCAUAGAUAUGACCCGGAACACCGAUUGCGUAGGCAGCCCACUAAGCAACGAUUGACGCUGAGGCACGAAAGCGUGGGGAUCGAACAGG